GGGAGGGGGUGUAACAUCAUCGCGCGACUUAUUGUCGAUGAAGGUGAUCAUCGUUCUACUGGGAUAUGGCAACUGAGGAUCACUCCAAAGUAAAGAUGGGAUUCAGAGAUGGGAUUGGAAUGACGUCUGGAUCAUCGAGGACAUGAGCCCAGAUCAAGGGAGGACAACUAACAUUCCGUGGGAAAAAAAGGGGGGAUUAUUCCCCAGGAGUGUUCCUGUUAUUCACGUUUAAUAUUAGCAUCACAGAAAAUGAGUAGAAAAAGUAAUGCUUAGAUUUUUGUUAAUAGUGUGAUUUACAGGGUUUUUGAAAUUUAAUUUAUACAAUCAGGAAAUCAGCAAUGUUAGAACAAUCAUUCUGCCAUGCAUCUACUACUUAUAAUAAAGGUAUUCUCUAUUCAAAUAUAUAGGGGACAAAAAUGUAUACCUUUCAAAUUUAAGUGAACAAAAUACCAUUCAAAUUUUAGUGGGCAAAAACCAAAUCAGCUUAACUAGAAACUGCAAAUCAACUGCAAUAUCAAUACGACGUAUACACCAAAUCGGAUCCCUAAAAAAAAUAACGACAAUAUAACGGGAAGGGGGGGUUAAAAUAAUAUUUAAGUUGUAUAUAGUGGUCAUUUUUAGUUAAGACUAAGUGAACACUCGAAACUGGAAACAGCAACUAGAGUGCAGUGCAGGGGUAAAAUACUCUGUGAUAAAAGUUGGUAAAUUACACACAGGGAUGAUCACAAAAAAAAUGAUCAUUCUUGGAAUGAGCUUAGAUAGGAGUAUUGGAAUAUGGUUAAAAUACAUUGAGGAUGGGAAAAGGAAUAUUAAGGUUUGUGAACAGGCUUGACGUUAUUUUUAUGUUAAACAUUUUUAAUCAUCGAUGGAAAAGGGUUUUCUUAUAUUGUUUCGACCAAACUUCAUAUUUUGAAAAGAAUUUCGAUGACCAUUAAACAAGAAUCAGCAGUAUUUUUUUUAAACAUAAAGAAAAACCACUAAACAGCUAACAUCAUCGUAUACAGGUUGUAUACGUUGAUUGAAAGUGGGCCCUCGUAUCAGGUGUCAGUAGAUUCGCAUAAUCGUACACGCUCUACAACGAAUGUUAUACAAUUCAGCAAUAAAAUUCCUGGGUUUUCUUUUAUUCUAUAUAACAACCAAAGGGUGAGAUGACACCUUAUCCACACGCACAUCCCUGAAAGAAGACAGGAGCCUAUCCAAACCUACAUCCCGAGGAGAAGACACAAGGAGAGGAUGCUAACUGUCAACACCAGACUGAGAACAGAGAGGCAACAGAAGAGCCUGGGGAUUCCAAACAUCAACCUUCCAGGGAGUCAGGAUCCUAAACGACCACACAUCUUAUAGGGAAAAUCACCUGUAGUCUGGUUCUGAUCCAAAUCUGCCAUGACAGCCUUAAAAACCAUGACCAUAGACCACAGGGGACAAGGAGACAUGACCAUGCAGGGACAGGAGGAAAGCAGCAGGCAAAGCAGGACGUGAUCUUUUGGACUGCAAAGAGAGGAACUUGAACUUAAUAAUGGUUAUAUCAAACUCCUGCCUAUACGGCGGGCUGCCAAAGGCGCCCUCUUGAGCCCAAGUUAAGAACACAAUCCUUCUUUCAAACUUCCAAGGACAUGUUCUGUAGUUCAGUAAGUGAUGAACCACUAUUGACAAUGCGAUUAUUCUCCCCUUUGGUUUCAAAUUUGGUUAUGAAAUGAGAGAUGAAACUAAUGACUUAGUAUAAACCAACGAAUUAGAACCGUAGCUAUUUUCACAUCAUUCAAAUCUGAACAAUAUUGAAACUUUGUGUCAGUAGUCAGUACAUGUAUAACAAUUCUUUUCAUGUAUAAGAAAUCAAUAAUAUCAAAAGUGUGCUGAUAAGGGAGUUGACAAACUUGGUUGCCAUGGAAAACUGGAGCCGGAUGGGAAUUUCCCCGUCUUUUUUUCCCCAAAGGAUUUUCGCGGGGUUUUCGCCCAUCCCGUAUAAUCAGCGAAUUCUUUAAAUCUGUACUUGUCAUCAAAAUAAUGUAAGUUUUGUGUUCACCUCACCUAUGUUUUAGCAAUUUAUAGUUUAUCCUAUAUCCUGCACCACUUUUCCCUGGUGAUUGUUACUUAUGUUUAAAUUAUAUUUAAAACUUUGGAAUGAAAGGCCAUGAAGGAUAUCAUACCCUUGGUAAAGAAAUACAAAACAAAUGAAGACGUUAUUCACGAAGAGGAAUCACAGUCUCGAACAAUAAUCAUGUCAGUUAUAGCAUUUUAAUCAGAACUGCUAUUAUAGCAAAGAUUUGGCGAUAUAUCUCGAUUUUUAAGAAUUACACAAAAUGUUCUUCGAAGUAGGUUGCAUUUAUAAGAAAUAAACCGGCAUUAAUAUUGAUAGAAACACAA
Patiria miniata (bat star) is the source of this 2364-nucleotide long non-coding RNA. RefSeq lists it as uncharacterized. The record is from RefSeq and is a predicted model, not a curated record. The transcript is spliced from 3 exons. NCBI's taxonomy places the organism in Eukaryota, Metazoa, Echinodermata, Asteroidea, Valvatida, Asterinidae.